GACGGGUGAGUAAUGCGUAGGAAUCUACCUAGUAGUACGGAAUAGCCAUUAGAAAUGGUGGGUAAUACUGUAUAAUCCCCGAGGGGGAAAGAUUUAUCGCUAUUAGAUGAGCCUACGUUAGAUUAGCUAGUUGGUGAGGUAAUGGCUUACCAAGGCUAUGAUCUAUAGCUGGUCUGAGAGGACGAUCAGCCACACUGGAACUGAGAUACGGUCCAGACUCCUACGGGAGGCAGCAGUGGGGAAUAUUGGACAAUGGGCGAAAGCCUGAUCCAGCUAUGCCGCGUGAG
Molecule: ribosomal RNA, 287 nt
Filed under: Ehrlichia canis
Lineage: Bacteria; Pseudomonadati; Pseudomonadota; Alphaproteobacteria; Rickettsiales; Anaplasmataceae
Description: partial 16S ribosomal RNA
Rfam family: Bacterial small subunit ribosomal RNA
Source: RNAcentral